UACGUAGGGGGCUAGCGUUGUCCGGAAUCAUUGGGCGUAAAGAGCGCGUAGGCGGCCAGAUAAGUCCGGUGUGAAAGUCACAGGCUCAACCUGUGAAUGCCGCUGGAAACUGUCUGGCUAGAGUCCGGAAGGGGCGAGUGGAAUUCCUGGUGUAGCGGUGAAAUGCGCAGAUAUCAGGAGGAACACCAAUGGCGAAGGCAGCUCGCUGGAACGGUACUGACGCUGAGGAGCGAAAGCCAGGGGAGCAAACGGG
RNAcentral lists this ribosomal RNA (253 nucleotides) under uncultured bacterium. Its description in RNAcentral is "partial 16S ribosomal RNA". It matches the Rfam family "Bacterial small subunit ribosomal RNA", at positions 524 to 776 of the family's 1533-position model. The record is from RNAcentral.